UACGUAGGGGGCAAGCGUUGUCCGGAUUUAUUGGGCGUAAAGAGCGUGUAGGCGGCCAGGUAGGUCGGUUGUGAAAACUGGAGGCUCAACCUUCAGACGUCGACCGAAACCAUCUGGCUAGAGUCCGGGAGAGGAGAGUGGAAUUCCUGGUGUAGCGGUGAAACGCGCAGAUAUCAGGAAGAACACCCGUGGCGAAAGCGGCUCUCUGGAACGGUACUGACGCUGAGACGCGAAAGCGUGGGGAGCGAACAGG
This 253-nucleotide ribosomal RNA is filed under the name uncultured bacterium. RNAcentral's name for it is "partial 16S ribosomal RNA". It matches the Rfam family "Bacterial small subunit ribosomal RNA", at positions 524 to 776 of the family's 1533-position model. The record is from RNAcentral.